AAGGAUCAUUACUGAGUGAGGGUCUUUCGUUCAUCGAGGCCCAACCUCCCCACCCUGUGUCGACCGUACCUUGUCGUUGCUUCGGCGGACCGGUUGCUGACCAACUGGUUUCAACCGCCGGGGGCGUGCCGCCCCUGGAGCGCGUCCGCCGAUGGCCCAACUUUAACUCUUGACCCGAAACCAGUGUCGUCUGAAACACGUUUGUGAUUAAUACAAUCAAACCAAAACUUUCAACAACGGAUCUCUUGGUUCUG
Molecule: unclassified non-coding RNA, 254 nt
Filed under: uncultured fungus
Lineage: Eukaryota; Fungi
Description: partial contains 18S rRNA, ITS1, 5.8S rRNA, ITS2 and 28S rRNA
Source: RNAcentral